Molecule: long non-coding RNA, 1723 nt
Filed under: Homo sapiens (human)
Lineage: Eukaryota; Metazoa; Chordata; Mammalia; Primates; Hominidae
Description: HSALNT0314335
Source: RNAcentral
UGGCAGCUGCUUCCUGCAGUCGCUGUCCCCAAUAACUUUGGGCUCUCUGCCUUCCACUCUUCAAUACCCAAGGAACACUUCUUUGUAUUCAGUUCUCUGUUAGAGCCUCUGGUGUGAUGUUUGGGCCCUGACUGGACUGGCUCUCCUCUCCGGUCUCCUCCUCUGUCACUCUGUCCUGGUGUCUGGUAGUUUUGAGAGAGGGUGGGAUGUGAUGUCAGCAGAUUGGACUGCACUUGCAAAAGCUGUCCCACAGUGACCAAUGAAAUACUGCUUCAGGACAUCUGAGAUCAAGGCCAAGUAGGAGUCCCAGCCAGGCCUGGUCUGGGUCCAGGGUCAGCAGCUGGGGUCAGUGGUCACUUAGUGGCUGGGUGUAGGACCCAGGCUGUGGUGGGGUCAGGGUAUGUCAUGGGUCACUUGUGGUCAGGUCCAAGACUGAAGCCUGGCUGGCAUUGGGUGUUGAGUGUUGGAGUUGAUUCUAGGGCCAGGCUGCAGCUUCCCCACUGAGGGAGACUGGCUUUCCUUAACAAACUACACCUCUGUGCCUGGCCAGGCCUACAAGCCCCCUUUCCUAAUCCUGGCCCUCUAUCCUUAAGCCCUGCCCCACAGUCUGUCUCCAUCAGGCCUGAGAAGGACCAGUCAGUGUUCCUAGAGGGUCUGUUCAUCCAAGCUGAGGCCCCUGCAUCCUGUCUGCUGAGGUUCCCAGCUCAAAGGCAGUGACCCAGACCCAUGAUUCUCAAAACGUGCUUUUCCUAGUACAAGAGAUGCCAGUAUCUCCCAGGAACUUGUCCCAGGUUAACAAUUUCACCUAAUUCUGACUUUUCCACCUCAUUCUGAAUCCGAAACUCUCAGGGUGCGCUUAGUACUCUCUGUGUUUUUUUCUUUUCUUUUACAAAAUGCCAGGGGAGAGUGCAAAUGCAGUUCCCCAUUACCACAAAUUAUGAAGUCGAGUUUCCCACCUUUGGGGAAAUUGCAGGGAUCAGCACAUCCAGAGUACAAUGGAGAAGACUCGCCCUGGGAAAACCACCUUUGUGAUCAUGGUCUCUCCCCUGAUGGAAUACAAUUGGAAAAACUGGUUAUUUUCCCAAGGCUUUGACUGGAAUGGUGUGCUCUCCUCUAAGGAAUCAAACUUAAGAAGCCAAUGAAACCCUUGGAAAACUGGCCUCAUAUUUUGUGUGCACAGUCCCUGUACAGGGUUUCUGAUGUGUGUUUAAAUUAUAUCCGUUACAGAAAUCAACUCCUGGAUACAUCAUAUUCAAGUCAAAGCCUAAAGAGCUGAGAAAGCAACCCCUAACAGUCCAAAAAAAGUCCUAUUCAUGUAAAAAAAUAAAUAAGAAAUCUUAAGCUAAAAAUCAUAAAAGUUAAGUAACUAAGUAAAAAUUGCUCAUCUUACUCAGUCUCAACCCCACCUCACCAAAUACUUUUUGUCGUUUCUACUUCUCCUUUUAAGCCAACUAUUAAAACCUUUUUUAAUGAAAAUUAUUUACUAUGACACCCUCGCGGGAACUGCUGUACUCACUCUACUAUUUGCAGUAGGACUGUGAACCCUCAGAGUGGAAUAUCUGACAGAGAAUCUCAAUUACUGUAGCAUUUUGCUUAAUUAUUAUCCUCAUAGCAGGAAUAACAGUUACUAACAAAAAAUAACACAUGGGUCUUUCCAAACAUGCACCUCUGCCUGUCAUUAAAAAAAAAAAAAAAAAAAGUUACUUCUGUCUCAACCAGUCGG